CCCAGACUCCUACGGGAGGCAGCAGUGAGGAAUAUUGGUCAAUGGGCUUACGCCUGAACCAGCCAAGUCGCGUGAGGGAAGACUGCCCUAUGGGUUGUAAACCUCUUUUGUCAGGGAGCAACGCCGGCUACGUGUAGCCGGACUGAGAGUACCUGAAGAAAAAGCAUCGGCUAACUCCGUGCCAGCAGCCGCGGUAAUACGGAGGAUGCGAGCGUUAUCCGGAUUUAUUGGGUUUAAAGGGUGCGUAGGCGGAAUGCCAAGUCAGCGGUAAAAUGUCCGGGCUCAACCCGGGCCGGCCGUUGAAACUGGGGAUCUUGAGUGGGCGAGAAGUAUGCGGAAUGCGUGGUGUAGCGGUGAAAUGCGUAGAUAUUAGGAGGAACAUCGGUGGCGA
This 391-nucleotide ribosomal RNA is filed under the name uncultured bacterium. RNAcentral describes it as "bacterial SSU rRNA". It matches the Rfam family "Bacterial small subunit ribosomal RNA", at positions 330 to 718 of the family's 1533-position model. The record is from RNAcentral.